UACGGAGGGUGCAAACGUUGCUCGGAAUCAUUGGGCGUAAAGCGCACGUAGGCGGCCUGUUAAGUCGGGUGUGAAAGCCCUGGGCUCAACCCAGGAAGUGCACUCGAAACUGGCGGGCUUGAAUAUGGAAGAGGAUCGCGGAAUUCCCGGUGUAGAGGUGAAAUUCGUAGAUAUCGGGAGGAACACCGGUGGCGAAGGCGGCGAUCUGGUUCGAUACUGACACUGAGGUGCGAAAGCGUGGGGAGCAAACAGG
RNAcentral lists this ribosomal RNA (253 nucleotides) under uncultured bacterium. Its description in RNAcentral is "partial 16S ribosomal RNA". It matches the Rfam family "Bacterial small subunit ribosomal RNA", at positions 524 to 776 of the family's 1533-position model. The record is from RNAcentral.